AGGGAUAUAACUCUACGGUAGAGUGUCACCUUGAUGCGGAGGUGGUCAUCAGUUCGAGUCAGAUUAUCCCUA
Molecule: transfer RNA, 72 nt
Filed under: Gossypium arboreum
Lineage: Eukaryota; Viridiplantae; Streptophyta; Magnoliopsida; Malvales; Malvaceae
Rfam family: tRNA
About the family: Transfer RNA (tRNA) molecules are approximately 80 nucleotides in length. Their secondary structure includes four short double-helical elements and three loops (D, anti-codon, and T loops). Further hydrogen bonds mediate the characteristic L-shaped molecular structure. tRNAs have two regions of fundamental functional importance: the anti-codon, which is responsible for specific mRNA codon recognition, and the 3' end, to which the tRNAs corresponding amino acid is attached (by aminoacyl-tRNA synthetases). tRNAs cope with the degeneracy of the genetic code in two manners: having more than one tRNA (with a specific anti-codon) for a particular amino acid; and 'wobble' base-pairing, i.e. permitting non-standard base-pairing at the 3rd anti-codon position.
Source: Rfam by way of RNAcentral